This 232-nucleotide ribosomal RNA is filed under the name uncultured Enterobacterales bacterium. RNAcentral's name for it is "partial 16S ribosomal RNA". It matches the Rfam family "Bacterial small subunit ribosomal RNA", at positions 99 to 334 of the family's 1533-position model. The record is from RNAcentral. Lineage: Bacteria; Pseudomonadati; Pseudomonadota; Gammaproteobacteria; Enterobacterales.
CGGACGGGUGAGUAAUGUCUGGGAAACUGCCUGAUGGAGGGGGAUAACUACUGGAAACGGUAGCUAAUACCGCAUAACGUCGCAAGACCAAAGAGGGGGACCUUCGGGCCUCUUGCCAUCAGAUGUGCCCAGAUGGGAUUAGCUAGUAGGUGGGGUAACGGCUCACCUAGGCGACGAUCCCUAGCUGGUCUGAGAGGAUGACCAGCAACACUGGAACUGAGACACGGUCCAG